Molecule: long non-coding RNA, 1237 nt
Organism: Homo sapiens (human)
Lineage: Eukaryota; Metazoa; Chordata; Mammalia; Primates; Hominidae
Source: Ensembl
GACAUCAUUGGCCAUUGGUAACUGAACUCAACUUCCAGCUCCUCUUCUCUCUCCAAAAGUCAGGGGAAAUUAUGCUACAGAUCAGCCUAAUGGGGGACCCACACCUAAUAGACAUACAAAGGACAAUUAGAAGAGUCGAGAAGUAAAAAGCAAAAAAUGAAGUUUUAUAGAACGAAUGAAGACAAAAAUCUGAACCGCACCUGAAGUGGAGCUGGGCCUUGUCACGAACAAAAACUUACAGUGCAAGGUUCUGCAGCUGGCUGGCUUUAUGACCUUGAGCUUCCACUUAACCUGUCCACACUUCCAGUUUUCAUCUACAAAUUGAAGGGGGUUGUGCAAGCAUUUGACAUUCUUUCAGUUGCUAUGGGCAGUGAACCUAUGAACAUGACAGUGACAGCAAUGGCAAGAAACAGCCGUGAGGUCUUCUUGCCAUCAGGCCAGAGCCUCUUUUCUUGCUCAGACUCCGCUGUGGGGAGCAACCGCACACCAGACCCUCCGACACAUCCUCCGUGUUUCUGCCAGCUCUGCCACUAUUCAAGUUCUCCUGAUUUUAUCAGCACCUGCUCUUGUUCUCCCAUGCCCAGGACCACUAUAAUAGCCUCCUUUCUAUUUUCUGCUAAUCAUCACUCCCCUAAAACACACAACAGGUGCAAUACUUUUGACAUAUUAAAUGUGUCUACCUUCAGAAUCCCCCAGAAGGAGACUCUGUGACAGGGAUUCAAGCAAAAGUAGUUUAUGUGAGGUAGUUGGUUUCAGGAAACACAGGCAGGAAAGGAGGCAAGUGAACAAUAAAAGGAAGACGGUCAAUGAAGGGCACAUUAUAGCAAGUCGCCACUAUGAGAAAUGGCAGCUUCAUCUCUUGGAGACACUGAGAACCAGAGCAGGACCCUGCCUCAGUUACUCUUCCUGAAAGCCUAGCUAGCUGAGGUUUACAUCACCACCUCCGGCUGUCACUGGCCGUGGCUGCUCUCAGGAGUCAAUCUCAGGCACUUUCACCUGCCAAAGAGAGUCCUUAGGGGAAGUGUUGCUACUGGGCAGCUGGAAGUGCUGCCAGGAAAUGGUAAGGAGGUGACAGGCUCCAGGCAGGCACCAACAGCACCUGCAACACCACCGCUCAUUUUUGUUUCUUAAUUGUCCUGUGUCUCCUUCACACACGGAGUUGAUGGCAGCCAUUGCUUCAAAGAAAGAUACAGCCUAAAAUAAAGACUCAGGGUUUUGCUCUGAGUUUCUGAUUUGU